Bos taurus (domestic cattle) is the source of this 72-nucleotide non-coding RNA. NCBI's taxonomy places the organism in Eukaryota, Metazoa, Chordata, Mammalia, Artiodactyla, Bovidae. The record is from Rfam.
UCCCUGGUGGCUCAGACUGUAAAGCAUCUGCCUGCAAUGCAGGAGACCCAGGUUCAAUCCCUGGGUUGGGAA